This 2910-nucleotide ribosomal RNA is filed under the name Escherichia coli. RNAcentral's name for it is "23S ribosomal RNA". It matches the Rfam family "Bacterial large subunit ribosomal RNA". Lineage: Bacteria; Pseudomonadati; Pseudomonadota; Gammaproteobacteria; Enterobacterales; Enterobacteriaceae. The record is from RNAcentral.
GGUUAAGCGACUAAGCGUACACGGUGGAUGCCCUGGCAGUCAGAGGCGAUGAAGGACGUGCUAAUCUGCGAUAAGCGUCGGUAAGGUGAUAUGAACCGUUAUAACCGGCGAUUUCCGAAUGGGGAAACCCAGUGUGAUUCGUCACACUAUCAUUAACUGAAUCCAUAGGUUAAUGAGGCGAACCGGGGGAACUGAAACAUCUAAGUACCCCGAGGAAAAGAAAUCAACCGAGAUUCCCCCAGUAGCGGCGAGCGAACGGGGAGCAGCCCAGAGCCUGAAUCAGUGUGUGUGUUAGUGGAAGCGUCUGGAAAGGCGCGCGAUACAGGGUGACAGCCCCGUACACAAAAAUGCACAUGCUGUGAGCUCGAUGAGUAGGGCGGGACACGUGGUAUCCUGUCUGAAUAUGGGGGGACCAUCCUCCAAGGCUAAAUACUCCUGACUGACCGAUAGUGAACCAGUACCGUGAGGGAAAGGCGAAAAGAACCCCGGCGAGGGGAGUGAAAAAGAACCUGAAACCGUGUACGUACAAGCAGUGGGAGCACAGAGCAAUCUGUGUGACUGCGUACCUUUUGUAUAAUGGGUCAGCGACUUAUAUUCUGUAGCAAGGUUAACCGAAUAGGGGAGCCGAAGGGAAACCGAGUCUUAACUGGGCGUUAAGUUGCAGGGUAUAGACCCGAAACCCGGUGAUCUAGCCAUGGGCAGGUUGAAGGUUGGGUAACACUAACUGGAGGACCGAACCGACUAAUGUUGAAAAAUUAGCGGAUGACUUGUGGCUGGGGGUGAAAGGCCAAUCAAACCGGGAGAUAGCUGGUUCUCCCCGAAAGCUAUUUAGGUAGCGCCUCGUGAAUUCAUCUCCGGGGGUAGAGCACUGUUUCGGCAAGGGGGUCAUCCCGACUUACCAACCCGAUGCAAACUGCGAAUACCGGAGAAUGUUAUCACGGGAGACACACGGCGGGUGCUAACGUCCGUCGUGAAGAGGGAAACAACCCAGACCGCCAGCUAAGGUCCCAAAGUCAUGGUUAAGUGGGAAACGAUGUGGGAAGGCCCAGACAGCCAGGAUGUUGGCUUAGAAGCAGCCAUCAUUUAAAGAAAGCGUAAUAGCUCACUGGUCGAGUCGGCCUGCGCGGAAGAUGUAACGGGGCUAAACCAUGCACCGAAGCUGCGGCAGCGACGCUUAUGCGUUGUUGGGUAGGGGAGCGUUCUGUAAGCCUGUGAAGGUGUGCUGUGAGGCAUGCUGGAGGUAUCAGAAGUGCGAAUGCUGACAUAAGUAACGAUAAAGCGGGUGAAAAGCCCGCUCGCCGGAAGACCAAGGGUUCCUGUCCAACGUUAAUCGGGGCAGGGUGAGUCGACCCCUAAGGCGAGGCCGAAAGGCGUAGUCGAUGGGAAACAGGUUAAUAUUCCUGUACUUGGUGUUACUGCGAAGGGGGGACGGAGAAGGCUAUGUUGGUCGGGCGACGGUUGUCCCGGUUUAAGCGUGUAGGCUGGUUUUCCAGGCAAAUCCGGAAAAUCAAGGCUGAGGCGUGAUGACGAGGCACUACGGUGCUGAAGCAACAAAUGCCCUGCUUCCAGGAAAAGCCUCUAAGCAUCAGGUAACAUCAAAUCGUACCCCAAACCGACACAGGUGGUCAGGUAGAGAAUACCAAGGCGCUUGAGAGAACUCGGGUGAAGGAACUAGGCAAAAUGGUGCCGUAACUUCGGGAGAAGGCACGCUGAUAUGUAGGUGAGGUCCCUCGCGGAUGGAGCUGAAAUCAGUCGAAGAUACCAGCUGGCUGCAACUGUUUAUUAAAAACACAGCACUGUGCAAACACGAAAGUGGACGUAUACGGUGUGACGCCUGCCCGGUGCCGGAAGGUUAAUUGAUGGGGUUAGCGGUAACGCGAAGCUCUUGAUCGAAGCCCCGGUAAACGGCGGUACCGUAACUAUAACGGUCCUAAGGUAGCGAAAUUCCUUGUCGGGUAAGUUCCGACCUGCACGAAUGGCGUAAUGAUGGCCAGGCUGUCUCCACCCGAGACUCAGUGAAAUUGAACUCGCUGUGAAGAUGCAGUGUACCCGCGGCAAGACGGAAAGACCCCGUGAACCUUUACUAUAGCUUGACACUGAACAUUGAGCCUUGAUGUGUAGGAUAGGUGGGAGGCUUUGAAGUGUGGACGCCAGUCUGCAUGGAGCCGGCCUUGAAAUACCACCCUUUAAUGUUUGAUGUUCUAACGUUGGCCCCUGAUCGGGGUUGCGGACAGUGUCUGGUGGGUAGUUUGACUGGGGCGGUCUCCUCCUAAAGAGUAACGGAGGAGCACGAAGGUUGGCUAAUCCUGGUCGGACAUCAGGAGGUUAGUGCAAUGGCAUAAGCCAGCUUGACUGCGAGCGUGACGGCGCGAGCAGGUGCGAAAGCAGGUCAUAGUGAUCCGGUGGUUCUGAAUGGAAGGGCCAUCGCUCAACGGAUAAAAGGUACUCCGGGGAUAACAGGCUGAUACCGCCCAAGAGUUCAUAUCGACGGCGGUGUUUGGCACCUCGAUGUCGGCUCAUCACAUCCUGGGGCUGAAGUAGGUCCCAAGGGUAUGGCUGUUCGCCAUUUAAAGUGGUACGCGAGCUGGGUUUAGAACGUCGUGAGACAGUUCGGUCCCUAUCUGCCGUGGGCGCUGGAGAACUGAGGGGGGCUGCUCCUAGUACGAGAGGACCGGAGUGGACGCAUCACUGGUGUUCGGGUUGUCAUGCCAAUGGCACUGCCCGGUAGCUAAAUGCGGAAGAGAUAAGUGCUGAAAGCAUCUAAGCACGAAACUUGCCCCGAGAUGAGUUCUCCCUGACCCUUUAAGGGUCCUGAAGGAACGUUGAAGACGACGACGUUGAUAGGCCGGGUGUGUAAGCGCAGCGAUGCGUUGAGCUAACCGGUACUAAUGAACCGUGAGGCUUAACCUU